CCCUGGCUGGCUCAGUCAGUAGAGCAUGUGACUCUUGAUUUCAGGGUCUGGGUUCAAGUCCCAUGUAGGGCA
Molecule: transfer RNA, 72 nt
Filed under: Ailuropoda melanoleuca (giant panda)
Lineage: Eukaryota; Metazoa; Chordata; Mammalia; Carnivora; Ursidae
Rfam family: tRNA
About the family: Transfer RNA (tRNA) molecules are approximately 80 nucleotides in length. Their secondary structure includes four short double-helical elements and three loops (D, anti-codon, and T loops).
Source: Rfam by way of RNAcentral